RNAcentral lists this ribosomal RNA (564 nucleotides) under Wickerhamomyces sp. Its description in RNAcentral is "eukaryotic LSU rRNA". It matches the Rfam family "Eukaryotic large subunit ribosomal RNA", at positions 65 to 642 of the family's 3401-position model. The record is from RNAcentral. Lineage: Eukaryota; Fungi; Ascomycota; Saccharomycetes; Phaffomycetales; Wickerhamomycetaceae.
CCAACAGGGAUUGCCUCAGUAACGGCGAGUGAAGCGGCAAAAGCUCAAAUUUGAAAUCUAGCACCUUCGGUGUUCGAGUUGUAAUUUGAAGAUGGUAACCUUGGGUUUGGCUCUUGUCUAUGUUCCUUGGAACAGGACGUCAUAGAGGGUGAGAAUCCCGUCUGAUGAGAUGCCCAUUCCUAUGUAAGGUGCUAUCGAAGAGUCGAGUUGUUUGGGAAUGCAGCUCUAAGUGGGUGGUAAAUUCCAUCUAAAGCUAAAUAUUGGCGAGAGACCGAUAGCGAACAAGUACAGUGAUGGAAAGAUGAAAAGAACUUUGAAAAGAGAGUGAAAAAGUACGUGAAAUUGUUGAAAGGGAAGGGCAUUAGAUCAGACUUGGUGUUUUACGAUUAUCUUCUCUUCUUGAGCUGUGCACUCGUAUUUCACUGGGCCAGCAUCGAUUCGGAUGGCAAGAUAAUGGCAGUUGAAUGUGGCUUCACUUCGGUGGAGUGUUAUAGCUUCUGCUGAUAUUGCCUGUCUGGAUCGAGGGCUGCGUCUUUUGACUAGGAUGCUGGCGUAAUGAUCUAA